This 631-nucleotide ribosomal RNA is filed under the name uncultured bacterium. RNAcentral's name for it is "bacterial SSU rRNA". The stretch from base 1 to 527 matches the Rfam family "Bacterial small subunit ribosomal RNA", at positions 338 to 873 of the family's 1533-position model. The record is from RNAcentral.
CCUACGGGAGGCAGCAGUGGGGAAUAUUGGGCAAUGGAGGAAACUCUGACCCAGCGACGCCGCGUGCGGGAUGAAGGCCUUCGGGUUGUAAACCGCUUUCAGUAGGGAAGAAGCGAAAGUGACGGUACCUACAGAAGAAGCACCGGCUAACUAUGUGCCAGCAGCCGCGGUAAUACAUAGGGUGCAAGCGUUGUCCGGAAUUAUUGGGCGUAAAGAGCUCGUAGGUGGUUCGUCACGUCGGAUGUGAAAAUCUGGGGCUCAACCCCAGACCUGCAUUCGAUACGGGCGAUCUAGAGUGUGGUAGGGGAGACUGGAAUUCCUGGUGUAGCGGUGGAAUGCGCAGAUAUCAGGAGGAACACCAAUGGCGAAGGCAGGUCUCUGGGCCAUUACUGACACUGAGGAGCGAAAGCGUGGGGAGCGAACAGGAUUAGAUACCCUGGUAGUCCACGACGUAACGGUAGGACGACUAGUUGUGGUACGUACCGUACGUUACGUGCGACGCGAGCUACGACAUAAGUACGCCCGCCGUCGGGUAGGUACGAGUCGCGAACGAAUUAAAACUUAACAAACGUAAGUAAGUUAGACGGUCGUAGAGACGUCGACCGACGGACCGACCGACGGAGGGAGGAGG